CUUGGCCCAAAUGAGGGCAUUAGUAAAUAUGUCUUUCCUCUCCUGGGAAUGGUGUUCCCUCACAGCAUCAUUCUGAAUGAUCACUUUCCAUAAAGGCAAGAGUUUAGUCUUUCAAAUGAACUAUAUGGCAAUGGAAGAGGCCAUUGGUUCCAAGGGCAGAAGACUGGUGCUACCCUUGGGCAUGGGAAAAACAUUAGGAUCAAGAGCCCAACUACUGGCGCCAGACUGCCUGGAUCUGCAGUUAAUUCUGCUACAAGCUAUAUCUGCAAAAAAGCCCAGAGUUGAGCUCUCCAAGGCCACAUAGCCACCUAAUGGCACAUUCAGGUCUAGAAACCAACUUCCAGACUCUAGACCAUUCCCCACUGUACCACCCUCCUUCCCUGGAGGUGGAUGUCCUGGACCAAGAAAGUUCUAUCAGAGCAAUAAUAAUCAGAACUGCAGUACCUCCCUCCAAGGACUCCCUUGUCACUCCAAAGACAGUCUUAUGCUGAUUCAUUCAUUCAUUUAUCCAUGCACUUACUCAGCACUGAGUUUAGCCUACCCAUAGAAGGUACAGAAAAGUUAAAACACAGAUGUUGUCCUUAACGGACUUCAACUAAAAUUGGGGCAAUAAGGUAGGCAGAGAUUAAAAUGAUAUGAUAAUACAGUUAUUUAUAUAAUGUGAAAAGUA
Molecule: RNA transcript, 670 nt
Organism: Odobenus rosmarus divergens (Pacific walrus)
Lineage: Eukaryota; Metazoa; Chordata; Mammalia; Carnivora; Odobenidae
Exons: 2
Source: RefSeq, a predicted model, not a curated record